GGACGCUGGCGGCGUGCCUAAUACAUGCAAGUGAAACGGGUAUCUUCGGAUACCAGUCGCGGACGGGUGAGUAAUACAUAGGCAACCUGCCUUUAUGAGGGGGAUAACCGAGGGAAACUUUGGCUAAUACCGCAUGAAGACUCUAAGGCAUCUUAGAGGGAUAAAAGUUGGGAAACAACGCAUGAAGAUGGGCUUAUGGCGCAUUAGCUAGUUGGUGAGAUAGAAGCCCACCAAGGUAAUGAUGCGUAGCCGACCUGAGAGGGUGAACGGCCACAUUGGGACUGAGACACGGCCCAAACUCCUACGGGAGGCAGCAGUAGGGAAUUUUCGGCAAUGGGGGGAACCCUGACCGAGCAACGCCGCGUGAAGGAAGAAGGUUUUCGGAUUGUAAACUUCUGUUAUAAGGGAAGAACGGAUUGGAUAGGGAAUGAUCUGAUAGUGACGGUACCUUAUUAGAAAGCCACGGCUAACUACGUGCCAGCCGCCGC
Molecule: ribosomal RNA, 488 nt
Filed under: uncultured bacterium
Lineage: Bacteria
Description: bacterial SSU rRNA
Rfam family: Bacterial small subunit ribosomal RNA
Source: RNAcentral